Empidonax traillii (willow flycatcher) is the source of this 500-nucleotide long non-coding RNA. RefSeq lists it as uncharacterized. The transcript has 4 exons. The record is from RefSeq and is a predicted model, not a curated record. NCBI's taxonomy places the organism in Eukaryota, Metazoa, Chordata, Aves, Passeriformes, Tyrannidae.
AGGAGAACAAAGUACUCCAUAUCCAUCUAAAUGACAGCAAAGGAAAAAGUAACAGCCUGCCUGAAAGGUGUAAAUAUCUGAGAGGAAGAGGAAUAACUUACCAGGGACAAAACUGUUUCCAAUGAUUCCCAGUAUUAGAGAGUGUCCACAGGCUUGCCAGUCUCAUCCAGUAAGGAAUAUUUCAACUUAAGGAGGAGAAGGAGAACUUUUUCUUUAAAAGGACAUUUACUGGAACAUGCAUGCCACAGGAAGAUACUAAUUAAUUUUGCACUGCCUUUCAAGCGUGAAGAUUUCAUUGCAGAAACAUCAACAAGUCAAUAACCAAGCACAGAGAAUCUACUGUGCUAGGUUCUGGGGAUGGAUACCGUGAUGAAAACUGUUUUUCAGAAGAAAAAAACCAAAGUGUAAAGAAAAAGAGAUGAACUACCAUCUGCCAUUAGGUAUCCACCGACAGUGAAGAUGUUCCAAAAUACAUUUCUCUUACACAAGAAAGAAGAGCA